RNAcentral lists this ribosomal RNA (502 nucleotides) under uncultured bacterium. RNAcentral describes it as "partial 16S ribosomal RNA". It matches the Rfam family "Bacterial small subunit ribosomal RNA", at positions 29 to 523 of the family's 1533-position model. The record is from RNAcentral.
AUUGAACGCUAGCGGCAUGCCUUACACAUGCAAGUCGAACGGCAGCGGGGGAGCUUGCUCCCGCCGGCGAGUGGCGAACGGGUGAGUAAUACAUCGGAACGUACCCAGUAGCGGGGGAUAGCCCGGCGAAAGCCGGAUUAAUACCGCAUACGCCCUACGGGGGAAAGGGGGGGAUCGCAAGACCUCUCACUAGUGGAGCGGCCGAUGGCUGAUUAGCUAGUUGGUGGGGUAAAGGCCUACCAAGGCGACGAUCAGUAGCUGGUCUGAGAGGACGACCAGCCACACUGGGACUGAGACACGGCCCAGACUCCUACGGGAGGCAGCAGUGGGGAAUUUUGGACAAUGGGCGAAAGCCUGAUCCAGCAAUGCCGCGUGUGCGAAGAAGGCCUUCGGGUUGUAAAGCACUUUUGUCAGGGAAGAAAUCGUUUGGGUUAAUACCCCGAGCAGUUGACGGUACCUGAAGAAUAAGCACCGGCUAACUACGUGCCAGCAGCCGCCGCGG